AUGCAUCUUGUUCAUCGUGAUCGUAAUUAUAUAUAUAAUUUUGGGCCUCGCAAAGGAAAAAGUAUCGCUCAAGCUUGGGGGAGGCUUAAGUCAAUGUUAUAUUCAUGCCCCAAUCAUGAGCUCUCAAGAGAAAUGAUUAUUCAAAAAAAUUAUGCUCGGCUUUCUCUCAAUGAUCGCAUCAUGCUCGAUACUUCUUGUGAUGGUUCUUAUAUGCUGAAGACUAUUGAAUUCAAGUGGGACUUAUUGGAAAGAAUUAAAUGCAACUCUGAAGAUUGGGGUUCCGACGAUGGUAAGGAGUCAGGUAUGACACCUACGUUUGAUUGUGUUAAGUCUUUUAUGGAUACAAUGCUUUUCGUGGAUCUAGCACUAAAUAUGGACUUGACUCUGAGAUAG
RNAcentral lists this ribosomal RNA (393 nucleotides) under Triticum aestivum (bread wheat). RNAcentral's name for it is "partial small subunit ribosomal RNA". The record is from RNAcentral. Lineage: Eukaryota; Viridiplantae; Streptophyta; Magnoliopsida; Poales; Poaceae.